CCUACGGGAGGCUGCAGUGAGGAAUAUUGGUCAAUGGGCGGGAGCCUGAACCAGCCAAGUCGCGUGAGGGAAGACGGUCCUAUGGAUUGUAAACCUCUUUAGGCGGGGAGCAAUGCCGGGCACGCGUGCCCGGAGGGAGAGUACCCGCAGAAUAAGCAUCGGCUAACUCCGUGCCAGCAGCCGCGGUAAUACGGAGGAUGCGAGCGUUAUCCGGAUUUAUUGGGGUUAAAGGGUGCGUGGGCGGAUUUUUAAGUCAGCGGUAAAAUGUCCGGGCUCAACCCGGGCCGGCCGUUGAAACUGGGGAGCUUGAGUGGGCGAGAGGUAUGCGGAAUGCGUGGUGUAGCGGUGAAAUGCAUAGAGAUCACGCAGAACUCCGAUUGCGAAGGCAGCAUACCGGCGCCCGACUGACGCUGAGGCACGAAAGCGUGGGGAUCGAACAGGAUUAGAUACCCCGGUAGUC
This 460-nucleotide ribosomal RNA is filed under the name uncultured bacterium. RNAcentral's name for it is "partial 16S ribosomal RNA". It matches the Rfam family "Bacterial small subunit ribosomal RNA", at positions 338 to 795 of the family's 1533-position model. The record is from RNAcentral.